AAUUCUUCUAUUGUGCACCUUCUCGAACAACUAGAACGUCUUUCUUAUAUACUCCUUCAUGCCAUCAUACCCGUUGGCACUUAUCAAAGGAAUUCCUCCAAUCUACCCGUUGGACGGAAUCAAUUAAGAAGAUCAUUCGAGCUAUUUAAAGAACAUGUCGAUAGCCCAUCAAUCAUGUUCGCCCAUAUAAUCAGGAUCUUGGUUUCCAUAAGUAGAACCUUCCAAGUAUACUUUUCCAAUCAUCGGAUCCUUAAUCUUCAAAUCAAUUAUGAUCAAACAAAGGAUUCCGUUAUGUCAUAUCCAGCCAAGAGAUCUUCUCCAGUCGAUAAGGUCAUAUCCUUAAUGAAACAUCCAGUUCCGGAUGGCCUUUCUUCAACGGAUUAGAAACUGUCAAUGAGGAUAGACUUUGAGUCUUGAGACUGGCUGUCUAAAGGUCUUCAGACUUUAAAUAGCAGAGUCUGCAAGCCUUCAGACUAGACUGAUGGAAACGUUUUGUCAAUUUCAAAACACUUCAAGAGGAUUUCUCCAACAAUCUCCCCAUUUUUGAUGGUGACAAAACUUUCCUGUAGAUUUGGAAAACUUUGACCUGCAAAACAUUUCUCAAACACAUAUGCAUAUCUUAUAGAGAUAAAUGGCUAAAUGAAUAACUAAUAACACUAGGAUCUGCAACCACAGAAAAUAGGUUAGUCCAGUAUGCAAUAAAGCCAUCCAUAAGAUAUUAAUAGUAGUUAAUAAGCAGUCAAAUCCCAAAUUUAGUUCACAUCCAGACACACAUGACUCACAAGUCAAGUUAAAACAAACCACAAACCAAACAAGCCAAAAGUUCGACAAAUUUAAGUUCAAAGUUUUUCAAGUCUCGCAACUCUCCCCCUUUUUGUCAGCAUAAAAAAGAUUGAGAUGAAAAUGGAGUCAAGAAUGCUUGGGAACAUGAACAAGCUGGAAAUCUCCCAUCGAUUGAACGAGCCUUCCGGCCUUUUCAAGUCUUCCUUCAGUUGUGCAACAUCCUCACCCUUAGCAUUAGCCUAAAUCUAAAGAGAAAGGGCUUGGAUCUUAUCAUUCAAUAAACCCGAAAAAGCUUGACCUGCAUUAUGCAAGUUCUGAACUUCGCAUCCCAAUGCAUAUAUCUGACCUUGCAUCUCCAAGAGAAUAUCCAUAACUCUGCGAAAGUCUGCUGAAUUGUCGGUCUGCGUACUAGCAUCAGCACGAUCUGAUGGAGUAAAUGCAGACGAUGGUAGAUUAGCAUAAUCACGCAGAUUUGGCGAAAGAACAUCAUGACCUUCCUCAGGAAACUGAGAGGCAUAAAUAUCUUCUGGAUCUGCUGGGGAUCGACUGACUCCCUCACUGGUUGCAGGAUUUGAGGACAUUCCUCUUUUCUCUUGGUCUCCCCUUGUGUUCAUGCCUUCGGGUGGAGAGUGCUCCUCAUGUUCUCCUUCUUCUUGAUCUCUUUUCUCUUCUUCUUCUUUUUCAACUCUCUCUUUCUUAGCAUCUCUUUCUUCUUCUUCUCUUUCCUCCAUUUCUUUUUCCUCUGCUUCUUUCUCUGCUCUUUCUUCUGUCUGCUGUUCUAACUCUUUCUCUUGAACGGAUCAACUGAGAUUCUUCAAAGCAGAAAUAGUGAUGUUUUCCUCAUCAUCUUCAUCCUCAACAAGGAGAGCUCUUCUUCUCUUGGAUGGAGCAUCGAUGGGCUCCUUCCCUUUUCUUUUUCCUGCAGAAGAGAAUUGAUGAGAUUUGACUGGAGUCUUCUCCUUAAUUUUCUCUAAUGCCUUGCUUAGUUCCUUCAGACGCAUCUUGGUCACCAUUUUCAGUCCCACCACCAUAUGAUCGCACGAUCGAGCACAAAGAAUUUGCGGAGGCUGAAUGUUCAGAUGUCUGAAUAACUUCGUCACAAGUCCUGGAUAAGGAAGUUGACCUCUGUCCUUCAUCACAGCUCUAUACAUAUGGAACAUAACAGUGUGAGGAAGUGAAAACCUUUUCCCAGUGAUGAUUGCAUACAUUAGCUUUGCUUCUGAACUUGAGACAUCAGUCUUAGAAGUUGAUUUUGGUCUGAGACAAGUGGUUACAAUUUUGUGCAGUAAGAUGUUGAAUGCACUCAUCCUUGAAUAAGAAAUCUUUUCCUCUGUUCUCCUGUCCUUAACAAGUUCCAGUGUAGUACGCGCAAUAGAAACUUUGAUCCGUUGAUAUCUUCCUCUCUCAACUCCUAACACAUCUGCCAGCAUAUCCAUAUCCACUACAAAGUCUUGAUCUUUGACACUGAAGGAAAAUCUAUUCGCAUCGAAAAAACUAAGAUUUGAAUAGAAAUAUGCAGUUAGUUGAGGAUAGGCCUCUGUAGUGUCAAAGCAGAAUUUUUCAAGUUGAAAAUGACCGAACUUUUCCCUUAAGUUCACAUUCACAGCAUCCAGAAAAUCAAAAUCCACACUCCUAGGGUUUAUCACCCCACGCUUCAGCAAUUUUGAGUAUAGAUCCUUCUGUUCCUUCGAUCUAAACAACUCUCCCAUUUUUCCUCGAAUCUCCGCCGCAACUCCCAUUCUUGGUUGAAAUUGGCUGUAUAAUUUGUCAUCAUCAUUUUCAUCUACCGGAUUAAUUCCCCAAUCACGAGGAUCACUUGGGAUAUUCGCAAGGGUUUCUUUUGCCACCCCUUUACGAGCAAUUCCCAAACUUUCCAUUUUUCGCAAAAAGAUAAAAUCCUUUGUCUUUAAGAAAAUCAUCGACAUAGUUCAAUGGAGUACCAGUCCCUUUAAAGCACGAUACAGCUUAUAAAUAAAAGAGGGCAUUUGAACUCUUACAGGGUCUGCAUCUUCAAUGAUUUCUUCAUUUUGUUGAUGAUCAACAUCUUGCGGACUAGAUGGAGGAGUAUGACGCUACUGAGAAUGUUGUGGGCUCUGCUACUGAUUUGGAGACACUUGUUCUUCAGUGAGAUCGAAGUGCGUAAGCCCCUCACUCAUUCGCCGUGGUCCCCUGCUUGCGAUCCUCGAAGACUUUCUUGAAGACGACAUCUUUCUUAGUCUUUGAAAGAUUCUUUGCUUGACUUUCCCAAGAAAGAUGACAACUUUUUCGAAGAUUAAACAAGAGAAGAAAACAUGAAUGGAAGAUUGGUGCUUUUUAGGGUUUUGGAGUUAAGCGAAGAGAAACUGACUGUAUAUAAAACAGUCGAAAGGAGGGGAUACCAAUCGUCGUAAUGGAAAGUGAAAAGAUGCCUUUAAAAAAAUAACUGCCUUUUUCGAAAAAUGGUCAUUUCAAAAUAACUCAUUUUUCUACAGGAAACGAUGCAAUAAUCUCGUCAAUUGAAGAUAGCGGUUGAGAUAACAAUAAUCAAACAUGGUUGAUAAACGUACCUUUUCAAGAUGAGAUUAGAGAGAGAAAAUAACUUACAGUCAAAGUCUUGCAGUUAAAAUCUUAUUUGUCUGAGUCUGAGAGUCUCUAGACUUUAACUUCUUCAAACCUCAAAAUGUUGAGUCUGGAACGGAUAAUUUCAAAUUGAUUUUUCUCCAAAGGCUUUGUAAAUAUAUCCGCCAGUUGGUUCUUUGAGUCAACAAACUGGAUCGUAAUUUCUCCAUUUUGAACAUGAUCUCUAAUGAAGUGAUGUCGAAUCUCUAUAUGCUUUGCUCUUGAGUGAAAAAUUGGAUUCUUGGUGAGAUUGAUUUCGCUGGUGCUGUCACAUUCAAUCUCCGUGCAUAAAUUUUCAAUUCCAAAGUCUCUUAGCUGUUGUUUUAUCCACAGAAUUUGUGAACAACAACUUCCGAGAGCUACAUAUUCUGCUUCUGCUAUAGAGAGAGCUACUAUACUUUGCUUCCUUGAAAACCAAGACACUGUCUUGCCUCCAAGUAGUUGACAGGUACUUGAGGUGCUCUUUCUAUCAACUCUGCAUCCGGCUAAGUCUGCGUCUGAGUACCCGAGAAGAGUAAAGUCUCCCAUUUUAGGAUACCAAAAACCGAAGCUUGAAGUUGAUGCAAUAUAUUUGAUAAUACGCUUUGCAGCAUUUAAUUGUGAUUCUUUAGGGUCUGCUUGAAAUCUGGCACAAAUGCAAACACUAAACAAAAUGUCAGGUCUAGAAGUAGUAAGAUAAAGAAGUGAACCGAUGAUACUCCUGUAUAACUUUUGGUCGACUUUCUUUCCUCCUUCAUCUUUAUCUAUCUUCAAGGAGCUUGACAUUGGUAUAUCGGCCUUUUUGCAAUUGUCCAGUCCAAACUUCUUCACAAUAUCAUUAGCAUAUUUUUCUUGAUGAAUAAAAGUUCCUUCCUUCAGUUGUUUCACUUGAAGUCCAAGAAAGAAGGUUAACUCACCCAUCAUGCUCAUUUCAAAUUCAUCCUGCAUAGUCUUAGAGAAUUUCUUGCACAGACUUUCAUUAGAGGAUCCAAAAAUAAUAUCAUCGACAUAUAUUUGAACAAGUAGAAAACUCUUGCUUUCUCUUUUAACGAAAAGAGUAGUGUCUACUUUACCUUUAACAAAUCCAUUUUCAAUUAAGAACUUACUCAGUCUGUCGUACCAAGCUCGAGGUGCUUUUUUUAAGCCAUAUAAAGCCUUUUUGAGUCUGAAUACUGAGUCUGGUUUCCUUGGGUCUUCAAACCCAGGAGGUUGUUCCACAUAGACUUCCUCUUGGAUGAAUCCAUUUAGGAAGGCACUUUUGACAUCCAUUUGGAAUAACAUGAAAUUCUUAUAACAAGCAAAAGCAAGUAAUAAUCGAAUUGCUUCUAACCUUGCUACUGGUGCGUAAGUCUCGUCAUAGUCUAUCCCUUCUUCUUGCAUGUAUCCCUUGGCCACGAGUCUUGCCUUGUUUCUUAUAACUUUUCCUUUCUCGUUCAUCUUGUUCCUGAAAACCCAUUUAGCUCCAAUAACAGAUUUACCUUUUGGUUUAGGAGUCAAUUCCCAUACAUCAUUAAUGCUUAAUUGCCUGAGCUCUUCUUGCAUAGCUUCAAUCCAGCUUUCAUCAGAUAAAGCUUCUUCUAUGCUUUUGGGUUCUAUUUAAAAACAAGAGCCAUAGCUUCAGUCCAGCUUUCUCGUCAAUGUCUUCUUGUUGUAGACUCUGUACGCUUUGCUUGAGGUUGAAUAUCCAAGGAAGAUGCCUUCAUCUGACUUUUCUUCAAACUUACCAACUCCAAUGCUUUGUGUUCUGGUUGGUCCAAAAAGAUCCAUAUGCAGAAGCUGCAGUACACGGUUAGUGGAAACUUGAUUUAUUGGUUUAAAGGAAUUUCUUACAUGUUUUCCCAAUAUACAUGGUGUACAUAGAUCAGACUUUUGGUAUGAUAAAUUGGGUAGACCACGAACAAGCUUCUUUGCUGAGAUUUUGGCUAUUUGCUUCAUAUUGACGUGCUCAAGCUUUCUGUGCCAUAAGUUUGCUUCGUCUUGGAUUGAGAUUAGACAUUGUGAUUCAUCUGGUUUCACAUCCAAGAGGUAGAUAUUUCCAUGUCUUCGACCCAUGAAUGACUGAGUAGAAUCUUUACUAAUUCCUGAACAUAUUCCCUCUUGAAAGUUGAUUUUGAAACCAGUAUCACAUAGCUGACUAAUACUGAGCAAAUUGUAAUUAAGCCCUUCCACUAAGGAAACAUUGCUGAUUGUGAGAUUUCCAAUCUUUACAGUUCCAAAUCCCACGAUUUUUCCUUUGCUGUUUCCUCCAAAAGAGACUUUUCCACCAUUUACUUGAACAAGCUUUAUGAAGUAAUUUGAGUCUCCUGUCAUGUGUCUUGAGCAUCCACUAUCCAGAUACCAUUUUACCUUUUUCUUGAUAGUGACCUGCAUUUAAAAAAGAAAUUCAAACCUUCUUUGGUACCCAUAUUUUCUUGGGUCCAUUGGUGUUAGUAUGAUAUGCGGUUUUUGCCCAUACCUUUUUAACAGGUUUCCAAAUCAUAGGACAUUCUUUUUCAAAAUGAUCUGCACUAUUGCACUUUGAGCAUUUGAGAGCAUUGCGACCUACUGGUUUUACAAAGAUCAUUUUAAAAUGAUUUUUGUAAGCAUCUAUUGUGGGUCUUUGUUUGAUUCGUUCCUUUACUUUAGGAAAAUCAAUUAAAGGAAUGGUUUCAGUAGUCAUUCCCAAACCAGAUUUAUUGAAAUAAGGUCUUUGAACAGAGAGAAUUUUUUCCAAUUUCUCAGAUCCUAUAGAAAAUCUUUUGGAAAUGUUUGAGAUAUCACUUUUCAAGAAUGCAUUUUCUUUUAAAAGAUUAUCUUCACUUUCUUUAAGAGAAGAAACAUUCUUGUCUAAACAAUUCACUUUUUCUUUCAAAAUAUUUUCCUGUUGUUUUAGAGCAGAAUUUUCCUUCUUGAGUUCGGAAAUUCUUUUAAGAGAAGUCUUAAGACUAAAACACAAUUCAUCAAUGUAUUUUGAAAUCUUAAUAGGGAUUUUGAAGUUACUUACCUCAAAUUCGCUUUCUGAAUCUGAAUCUGUCUCGGAAUUUGAAUCUGAAUCCGAUUGUGCCAUCAGACAUAUAUUGGCAUAAUCAUCAUCACUUUCUUCACACUCUGUAUCACUCCAUGUUUCAGCUUUAAGAGCUUUUCGGUUCUUUUCAGUUUUUCCUUUCUUCUUCCUCAGAAGAGGACAGUUGGGUCUGAUGUGUCCCUUUUUCUUACAUUCAAAGCAGACUACAUCUUUGUUCGAUUCAUCAUCCUCAACAGACUUAGUCUGUUGCUUUUGAAAACUUUGUUUCUUUGGAUUGAAUCUUCUUCCUUUUCUGUUUAGCUUUCUGAAUCUUCUUAUCAUUAGAGCAAGUUCCUCAUCAUCCAUAUCGUCUUCAGAAUCUGUAACAUCAGAAUCAUCAUUAGAUUUUAAUGCAAUGGAUUUCUUACCUUUAGGGUCUUCGUCUUCAUUGAUUCGUUCCACUUCAUAAGACUGAAUAGUCCCAACCAACUCAUCAACAGAUAGUGGCAUUAUUCUUUGGGUCUCUCUGAUUGAGGUCUUUAUGUUAUUCCAAUCCUUGGAGAGUCCACGCAGUAGCUUGUUUACUUUCAUGGGAUCAUAAAUUGGUUGACCUUGAUUUUCAAGACCAUUCACAAUAUCUAUAAAACGACUAAACAUAUCAAUUAUAGAUUCUCCUAGUUUCAUUUUGAAGGCUUCAUAUUGGCCGAGGAGAAUGUUGAUUCUAGUCUCUUUCACUCGAUCGGUUCCUUCAUAGGUAAUAUGUAGUCUAUCCCAGACUUCUUUGGCUGUAACACAAGAAGAUAUUCUGUUAUAUUCAGUAGGGGAUAAAGCACAAUAUAAGGAAUAAAUUGCUUUUGCAUCAAGAGCUUGUCUCUUGAUUAUCUCUUCCUGAGUCAUUUCGCUAAACUCAACAUCAUAUUUUCCUCUUUCUGAGACAGAUGCAGCUUUAGGAAUGAUUCAUUUUUCUACAACGUCCCAUUCCAGAGGAUCAUUUGAUCUUAGGAAUGCUUUCAUCUUGUUUUUCCAUGUGUUGUAAUCAUUUCCAUCAAAGUAAGGUGGUCUGGUAUUGCUUUGCCCUUCUACCAACCCUGGAGCCAACAUACUAGCCAUUGAUCUUUAACUCUGAAGUAAAACACUUCAAACAAAGUGAGUACACAGGCUCUGAUACCAAUUGAGAUAGCUAGUAUAAGCACCUAGAGGGAGAUGAAUAGGUGCACAAACAAAUUCUCGAGAUACGGAAGCGAGGCAAACGAUAGAAAGGAAAAUUCGAUCAAAGUAAAGUAAGAGUUAGGGAAGAGAAAAUUGAACACAAGAUUUAUAGUGGUUCGGCUUUAUUCCAAGCCUACAUCCACUCUUCCGCACUGACAGCCUACCGGCUAGAUUUCACUAUGAACAAAAGAGAAGUUACAGCACAGCUUUUCCUUGAUUCCACAGUGUAGAUGAUCUACCACACUUCCUCAAGGUUUCUCAUGAAUAUAAACUCUAUUUUGUUUACACGAUUUUGCUCAAAUGAAUUGACUGAGAACAAAGAGCUUCAGACUUUGGAAUUCUUCUAUCGUGUACCUUCUCGAACAACUAGAACGUCUUCCAUAUAUACUCCUUCAUGCCAUCAUACCCGUUGGCACUUACCAAAGGAAUUCCUCCAAUCUACCCGUUGGACGGAAUCAAUUAGGAAGAUCAUUCGAGCUAUUUAAGGAACAUGUCGAUAGCCCAUCAAUCCUGUUCGCCCAUACAAUCAGGAUCUCGGUUUCCAUAAGU
RNAcentral lists this long non-coding RNA (8101 nucleotides) under Eucalyptus grandis. RNAcentral describes it as "long non-coding RNA (EGRA_LNC004670)". The record is from RNAcentral. Lineage: Eukaryota; Viridiplantae; Streptophyta; Magnoliopsida; Myrtales; Myrtaceae.